This 217-nucleotide unclassified non-coding RNA is filed under the name soil metagenome. Its description in RNAcentral is "partial contains 5.8S ribosomal RNA, internal transcribed spacer 2, and large subunit ribosomal RNA". The record is from RNAcentral.
AACAUCGCGCACCUGCGGGAACCUGCGGAGGGAUCAUUACAGAGUUGCAAAACUCCCUAAACCAUUGUGAACCUACCUUCUACCGUUGCUUCGGCGGGCGGGCCUAGCGCCCCCCGGCCCCCCGCGGGCGCCCGCCGGAGGAUAACCAAACUCCUGACAUCAGUGGCCUCUCUGAGUAUUCUUUACUGAAUAAGUCAAAACUUUCAGCAAUGGAUCU